Molecule: ribosomal RNA, 691 nt
Filed under: Leuconostoc carnosum
Lineage: Bacteria; Bacillati; Bacillota; Bacilli; Lactobacillales; Lactobacillaceae
Description: bacterial SSU rRNA
Rfam family: Bacterial small subunit ribosomal RNA
Source: RNAcentral
GCUAUAAUGCAGUCGAACGCACAGCGAAAGGUGCUUGCACCUUUCAAGUGAGUGGCGAACGGGUGAGUAACACGUGGACAACCUGCCUCAAGGCUGGGGAUAACAUUUGGAAACAGAUGCUAAUACCGAAUAAAACUUAGUAUCGCAUGAUACCAGGUUAAAAGGCGCUACGGCGUCACCUAGAGAUGGAUCCGCGGUGCAUUAGUUAGUUGGUGGGGUAAAGGCCUACCAAGACAAUGAUGCAUAGCCGAGUUGAGAGACUGAUCGGCCACAUUGGGACUGAGACACGGCCCAAACUCCUACGGGAGGCUGCAGUAGGGAAUCUUCCACAAUGGGCGAAAGCCUGAUGGAGCAACGCCGCGUGUGUGAUGAAGGCUUUCGGGUCGUAAAGCACUGUUGUAUGGGAAGAAAAGUUAAGGUAGGGAAUGACCUUAGCCUGACGGUACCAUACCAGAAAGGGACGGCUAAAUACGUGCCAGCAGCCGCGGUAAUACGUAUGUCCCGAGCGUUAUCCGGAUUUAUUGGGCGUAAAGCGAGCGCAGACGGUUGGUUAAGUCUGAUGUGAAAGCCCGGAGCUCAACUCCGGAAAGGCAUUGGAAACUGGUUAACUUGAGUGCAGUAGAGGUAAGUGGAACUCCAUGUGUAGCGGUGGAAUGCGUAGAUAUAUGGAAGAACACCAGCGGCGAAGGCG